AGUAAAAUAAUUUAAAUAAAAAAUAUUUACCUUGAAAGUAAAAAAUGAAUUCAAAUUUCUUUUACUU
Molecule: transfer RNA, 67 nt
Filed under: Mycopsylla fici
Lineage: Eukaryota; Metazoa; Arthropoda; Insecta; Hemiptera; Carsidaridae
Description: tRNA-Ser
Rfam family: tRNA
About the family: Transfer RNA (tRNA) molecules are approximately 80 nucleotides in length. Their secondary structure includes four short double-helical elements and three loops (D, anti-codon, and T loops). Further hydrogen bonds mediate the characteristic L-shaped molecular structure. tRNAs have two regions of fundamental functional importance: the anti-codon, which is responsible for specific mRNA codon recognition, and the 3' end, to which the tRNAs corresponding amino acid is attached (by aminoacyl-tRNA synthetases). tRNAs cope with the degeneracy of the genetic code in two manners: having more than one tRNA (with a specific anti-codon) for a particular amino acid; and 'wobble' base-pairing, i.e. permitting non-standard base-pairing at the 3rd anti-codon position.
Source: RNAcentral